Molecule: RNA transcript, 1049 nt
Organism: Carassius auratus (goldfish)
Lineage: Eukaryota; Metazoa; Chordata; Actinopteri; Cypriniformes; Cyprinidae
Exons: 10
Source: RefSeq, a predicted model, not a curated record
GGAAAAAUAUGCUCUGUGAUGAAAGUGACAUCAAUUCAGAGACAUCUUCCUGGGAAGAUGAUAUGAACUUGAAGCAGUCAGGAAAUGAAGUGAAGCAAUCUGGUCUGAAGUCAAGAAAUGUCCCACUGCCCAGACCUCCUAUAUACCAUGAUACUCUUCAGAGAAGUGGGGAAAAAGAUGAGAAUGAUCCCAAGCCCACAAGCUCUGAUGUCUCAGAAUUUCAUGAUCUUCAACAACAUCACAUGACUUAUAAAGCAAUUACAGUGCAAACCAGGAUACCAGAUGAUGUGCAUUUAAAGAAGUCAAGAAAUGCAAUGAAGCGAGUUGGUCUGAAGACAAAGAAUGUUCAGCUGGCCAAAACUCCCAGAUACCAUGGUGACUGUCUGGAUGAUAACAAUGAAAGCCCUGAUGAGUUAUUUAAACUCAAGCCAGCCCAACCCAGUAUUCUUAGAUACUCUUCAGGAAAAUGUGGCAAUGCAUGAGGAUGAUCAUCCCAAAAGCUCUGCUUCUUCAGAUCUGAAUACUAAGAUACUCCAACAAAUUAAAAUGCUGGAACAGAGACAAGCUGUCAUCAUGAAUGACUUGGCAAAAGUUAAGCCUGUUCUCAUGAAGCGGGCAGAAGAAGAUGCCCAUGAGGAACUUUUUAAACAACAACAGUGCUCCAGCUUUGAAACGUUUGAAGCCUUCUGUCAGAGGCUUGAAGAAGACAAAAAUUAUCAAGAGCUUUAUGUACACUAUCUCAUCCAUACUCACGGCACCUCCAAUAUAGGUGAGAUGGUGAAAGAGGCUUUAAUAAGCAUAGUGUCAGACAAUGUUCUCUGUCUGUAUAACAGAACGGGGAAAGAUGGGAAGAAGGUGUUGCCACCUGUGCUCCUGACAUGUUUGAAAAAAUGUGUCAGGUCUUUUCACAAACAAAAUGAAAUAAAGGUGAAGAAGCUAAAAGUAACCACCAGAACAACACCAGACGCGGAAUGUAUUCGCCAAGUAGAAUUUUUUUGUCCAACGCCAAAACCAGGCUGAAAAGGAAACCAAAUAAAGGAAAAAGCUGA